This is a long non-coding RNA of Syngnathoides biaculeatus (alligator pipefish), 652 nucleotides long. RefSeq lists it as uncharacterized. The record is from RefSeq and is a predicted model, not a curated record. The transcript has 3 exons. NCBI's taxonomy places the organism in Eukaryota, Metazoa, Chordata, Actinopteri, Syngnathiformes, Syngnathidae.
GUGGCAAUAUCCGUCAUCCUGUGCUCUGGACCCGUCACGAGAGGCAAUUAAUGCGAUCUUAUGUUCUUAUCUGCUACCUAGCAACCUUGACUCUUACCCAGAAUCGCCCCGGGCAACUGCUGCCGCUGCCUGUAAUCAAUCGAUCUACUGAGUGUGCGUGUGAGAUUGCAUCAAGGCAUUCCAGAAGUGUUUUACAUCAAGUCUCCGAAAUGACAACAAAAUAAGAACCUCUGUGCAAGCAAAUGAGCCAGCUGACAUAAACGCCAUUUUUACAUGCACCGCUGACUUGAGUGACUUGAUAACACAUUGCAGAAGGGAAACGGUCGACGCAAAUUCCACCAAUUGACAUGAAAUGUGGCGACUGCAUCUGUGCCGGAGAACGGGACGGUUGACCUUUGCAUGGAAAUGAGAAUGAAUGAGGACGAUGAAGAGGAACCGACGAAUCAACUCCACUUUCAUCUUUAGGCAGGACAGUAGUAGCGGUAGAAGAAGAAGAAAAAAAAAGAAGAAAAGGAAACAGUUGCAGUACCAGGAUGGAUCCUUAAUUAAAGUGAAUUACAGUCCGAACAAUGCAUGCAAAAUUUAAUCAAUGUAAGGCCACAUUUAACCAACAAUUUCAUAAAAACUAAAGUUGCACAAAAAUGUCAUCACA